AGAGUUUGAUCCUGGCUCAGAACGAACGCUGGCGGCGUGGAUAAGACAUGCAAGUGGGACGCUAAUCAAAGGGUAGCAAUAUUCGUUGGUUGGAGUCGCGUAAGGGUGCGUAACACGUGGGUAAUUUGCCGUGAAGCUUGGAAUAACUUGCCGAAAGGUAAGCUAAUACCGAAUGUGACUUGUGCUGGGCAUCCAGUAUCAGUCAAAGCCGGGGAUCGUAAGACCUGGCACUUCAUGAUAAGCCCGCGGCCUAUCAGCUAGUUGGUGAGGUAAUGGCUCACCAAGGCUAAGACGGGUAGCUGGUCUUAGAGGACGACCAGCCACACUGGAACUGAGACACGGUCCAGACACCUACGGGUGGCAGCAGUCGAGAAUUUUUCACAAUGGGCGAAAGCCUGAUGGAGCGACGCCGCGUGGGGGAUGAAUGGCUUCGGCCCGUAAACCCCUGUCAUUCGGGAUCAAAUCUGGCAACCUAACACGUUGUCAGUUGAUAGUACUGAAAGAGGAAGGGACGGCUAACUCUGUGCCAGCAGCCGCGGUAAUACAGAGGUCCCAAGCGUUGUUCGGAUUUACUGGGCGUAAAGGGAGCGUAGGUGGCAUUCUAAGUCUGGUGUGAAAGCUCUGAGCUUAACUCAGAAAUGGCAUUAGAUACUAGUUUGCUUGAGGAUUGGAGGGGAGAUUGGAAUACUUGGUGUAGCAGUGAAAUGCGUAGAUAUCAAGUGGAACACCAGUGGCGAAAGGCGAAUCUCUGGACAAUUCCUGACACUGAUGCUCGAAAGCUAGGGGAGCAAACGGGAUUAGAUACCCCGGUAGUCCUAGCUGUAAACGGUGCACGCUUGCUGUAGUGGAAUCGACCCCGCCUGUAGCGAAGCUAACGCGUUAAGCGUGCCGCCUGGAAGUACGGUCGCAAGAUUAAAACUCAAAGAAAUUGACGGGGGCCUGCACAAGCGGUGGAGUAUGUGGCUCAAUUCGAUGCAACGCG
RNAcentral lists this ribosomal RNA (982 nucleotides) under uncultured bacterium. RNAcentral's name for it is "bacterial SSU rRNA". It matches the Rfam family "Bacterial small subunit ribosomal RNA", at positions 8 to 963 of the family's 1533-position model. The record is from RNAcentral.